This 253-nucleotide ribosomal RNA is filed under the name uncultured prokaryote. RNAcentral's name for it is "partial 16S ribosomal RNA". It matches the Rfam family "Bacterial small subunit ribosomal RNA", at positions 524 to 776 of the family's 1533-position model. The record is from RNAcentral.
UACAGAGGUCCCAAGCGUUGUUCGGAUUCACUGGGCGUAAAGGGUGCGUAGGCGGUCGCGCAAGUUCGAUGUGAAAUCUCCAGGCUCAACCUGGAAAUGGCAUUGGAUACUGCCUUGCUAGAGUACUGGAGAGGGAACUGGAAUUUACGGUGUAGCAGUGAAAUGCGUAGAGAUCGUAAGGAAGGCCAGUGGCGAAGGCGAGUUCCUGGACAGUUACUGACGCUGAGGCACGAAGGCCAGGGGAGUAAACGGG